Molecule: ribosomal RNA, 406 nt
Filed under: uncultured bacterium
Lineage: Bacteria
Description: partial 16S ribosomal RNA
Rfam family: Bacterial small subunit ribosomal RNA
Source: RNAcentral
AUUGAACGCUGGCGGCAGGCCUAACACAUGCAAGUCGAACGAGUGGCGGACGGGUGAGUAAUGUCUGGGAAACUGCCCGAUGGAGGGGGAUAACUACUGGAAACGGUAGCUAAUACCGCAUACCAUCGGAUGUGCCCAGAUGGUAUUAGCUAGUAGGGGGGUUAACGGCUCACCUCGGCGACGAUCCCUAGCUGGUCUGAGAGGAUGACCGACAAAACGGGAACUGAGAAACGGUCCAGACUCCUACGGGAGGCAGCGGUGGGGAAUAUUGCACACUGGGGGCAAGCCGGAUGCAGCCAUGCCGCGGGUAUGAAGAAGGCCUUCGGGUUGUAAAGUACUUUCAGCGAGGAGGCGUUACUCGCAGAAGAAGCACCGGCUAACUCCGUGCCAGCAGCCGCGGUAAUAC